AAACCAUUCCUGACAACUAAGGGAGACCAGGGCUGGACGUCACACAUUUUCUACUCCAAAUAAAUUCCUCAAGGUUUUUGAUGGAUUGACAUCAAAUUUUACAUGGAUCAAGUAUUCGAGACAGGAGUGUAAUAAAAAUGAAGAUUGUAUAUGUCU
Molecule: long non-coding RNA, 156 nt
Organism: Cyprinus carpio carpio
Lineage: Eukaryota; Metazoa; Chordata; Actinopteri; Cypriniformes; Cyprinidae
Source: Ensembl